GAUGAACGCUGGCGGCGUGGAUAAGACAUGCAAGUCGAACGGGAUUUUUUUCUGUAGCAAUACAGGAAAAAGUCUAGUGGCGAACGGGUGCGUAACACGUGAGCAACCUGCCGUGAAGUGGGGGAUAGCUCGCCGAAAGGCGAAUUAAUACCGCAUGUGGCCAAGGAAGACAUCUUCCUGACGCCAAAGCCGGGGCAACCUGGCGCUUCUCGAGGGGCUCGCGGCCUAUCAGCUUGUUGGUGAGGUAACGGCUCACCAAGGCUAUGACGGGUAUCUGGUCUGAGAGGACGACCAGCCACACUGGAGCUGAGACACGGUCCAGACACCGACGGGUGGCAGCAGUCGAGAAUUUUUCACAAUGGGGGAAACCCUGAUGGAGCGACGCCGCGUGGAGGAUGAAGGUUUUCGGAUUGUAAACUCCUGUCAUUAGAGAACAAGGCACACGGUUUAACUGGCCGUGUGUUGAUAGUAUCUGAAGAGGAAGAGACGGCUAACUCUGUGCCAGCAGCCGCCGUAA
This 517-nucleotide ribosomal RNA is filed under the name uncultured bacterium. RNAcentral's name for it is "partial 16S ribosomal RNA". It matches the Rfam family "Bacterial small subunit ribosomal RNA", at positions 28 to 523 of the family's 1533-position model. The record is from RNAcentral.